AACUUUCAACAACGGAUCUCUUGGUUCUGGCAUCGAUGAAGAACGCAGCAAAAUGCGAUAAGUAAUGUGAAUUGCAGAAUUCAGUGAAUUAUCGAAUCUUUGAACGCACAUUGCGCCCGCCAGUAUUCUGGCGGGCAUGCCUGUUCGAGCGUCAUUUC
RNAcentral lists this ribosomal RNA (158 nucleotides) under Fusarium oxysporum. RNAcentral describes it as "5.8S ribosomal RNA". It matches the Rfam family "5.8S ribosomal RNA". Rfam says of the family: 5.8S ribosomal RNA (5.8S rRNA) is a component of the large subunit of the eukaryotic ribosome. The record is from RNAcentral. Lineage: Eukaryota; Fungi; Ascomycota; Sordariomycetes; Hypocreales; Nectriaceae.